RNAcentral lists this ribosomal RNA (254 nucleotides) under uncultured prokaryote. RNAcentral's name for it is "partial 16S ribosomal RNA". It matches the Rfam family "Bacterial small subunit ribosomal RNA", at positions 524 to 776 of the family's 1533-position model. The record is from RNAcentral.
UACGGAGGAUCCAAGCGUUAUCCGGAAUUACUGGGCGUAAAGAGUUGCGUAGGUGGCAGAAUAAGCAAGGCAUGAAAGCGUGUGGCUCAACCAUACAUCCAUGUUUUGAACUGUUCAGCUAGAGAAUGAGAGAGGUCACUGGAAUUCCCUGUGUAGGAGUGAAAUCCGUAGAUAUAGGGAGGAACACCGAUGGCGUAGGCAGGUGACUGGCUCAUUUCUGACACUAAGGCACGAAAGCGUGGGUAGCAAACAGG